AAAGUUUGACACAGACACUUGCCCCAGUGUGUCAUGCUCAGAGCAAUGACCCACGGGUUCUAAUGGGAGGUGAGCAUUGGAGAAGGAAGGGAAAUUCCAUAGGUCAGUAAGGCUGCAUCAGGAUCAGCUGAAUUUCUGACAGCAGAUCUCACGGAGAGAAUCAAAGGCUAACUAGGGGAAACAGUAGGAGUCACUAAGAGAUUCCGGAAGUUGUGUAGGGAUGAAAGUUGCUUAACUACUGUCUGACUCAGUUCAUCUUCUAUACAUCAAAGAUGUUACAUGCCCCUACCUUUAUAGGGCUGCUGGGAGGAUUCAUCAAGUUUCUGCAGGUAAAGUUCCAGGCACAAAGUAAAGAUGUUGCUAUUAAAAUGGUAAGAUGUGGCUGGGCGCGGUGGCUCAUGCCUGUAAUCCCAGCACUUUGGGAAGCCGAGGCGGGUGGAUCACGAGGUCAGGAGUUCAAGAUAAGCCUGGCUAAGAUGGUGACACCCCAUCUCUACUAAAAAGACAAAAUUAGCCAGGCGUGGUGGCGGGCGCUACUCGGGAGGCUGGGGCAGGAGGGUUGUGUGAGCCCGGGAGGCAGAGGUUGCGGUGAGCUGAGAUAAUGCCACUGCACUCCAGCCUGGGCAACAGAGUGAGACUCUGUCUCAAAAAACAAAAAACAAAACCAAAAAAUGGUAAGAUGCAAUGCAUCCGGGUCUAGGAUUUUCUCAAGCGUUUAGCAGCCUAGGAAUUCUCAGUAGACUUCUGAAACAUAUAAUUUAUGCCCUAAAAUUUUGAUGACUAAUAUCUAUGAUAUAGUAAAGCCUGUCUGGAUAUCAAGUCAGUGUGGGUUUGAUCAUUUAUUUCAACCAUUGGAAACAAACCCCAAUGCCUCCAGAAGCCAGGUGGGUGACCUAAGGGUGGGAUGGCAGGAGGGGUGUACCACCUAGAGAGCACAAGCCCUCCUCAAAAGAGAAUCUGUUACUGACUUCGUUAUUGCCCUAUGUAAGUGUGGACCAGGCUUGCUGUUUGACAUCUACAGUGCAUUAUUUCAACAUUCAUCAGGUUUAAUGCACUAUGCCACAUAAGCGAGGUGAUGCUACUAGGAUAUUUUUUGGAAAUUUACACACACACAAGUCUGCUAAAAUAGUUAGGUCUAAGGAUUCCUAGCUCUGGGAGAAGGGUUACAUUUUCUGCCUUAUCUCCAGCUAUUGGGGUUAUUUGAAUUAUUUAACCUUGACCUGUUGUAUUAGUCCAUUCCCACACUACUAAUAAAGACAUACCUGAGACUGGGUAAUUUAUAAAGGAAAAAGGUUUAAUUGACUCACAGUUCUGCAUGGCUGGGGAGGCCUCAGGAAACUUACAAUUAUGAUGGAAGGGGAAGCAAACACAUCCUUCUUCACGUGGCAGCAGCAAGGAGAAGAAUGAAAGCUGAGAGAACAGGAAAGCCCCUUAUAAAACCACCAGAUCUCAUGAGAACUCACUAUCAUGAGAAUAGCAUGGGGUUAACCACCCCCAUGGUUCAACUACUUCCCACCGGGUCCCUCCCGAUUCACAUGGGGAUUAUGAGAACUACAAUUUAAGAUGAAAUUUAGGUGGGGACACAGCCAAACCAUAUCACCUGUAUUUAAUUUAUAUAAUAAAAUACAUUUAAUCUAUAAAUUAUGUUAAAAGUACACAUUGAAACCUGAAAGGUUUCAAGAAGUCCUAUACUAGAGCAAAGAAACCCAUUUAACAGUAAUCAGCCCCUUGUUUCUCAUAAUAUUUCACUCAAAAUCUUUAUUUUCCAUAUAAAAUGUAUGAACACCUUACGGAGCACUCUUUGGGAAAGGAUGCCCAACUUUUAAAAGGAAGACCCAAACAAACCGGUCAACAGAAACAGAGUGCUGCUGUGGUGCCAUGCCCGAGACACCUGCCAAUAGUCCUCUGCCACUCGCCAUCCUUGCAUCAGCAUCUGGGACAUGGUAAUUACACUCGACGGCCUGUCACUCCACCUCUCCUCAUUCCUCAGCUCACAGAAAAGAGAUCUGUGAAACACCAGCUCUGGUCUCGGCAAAUAUUUGUUUCCCCCUGGCUCCCUGGAAAAUGCAUUUUUAAAACUGUUCCUACAAUUGCAGUAUGGCAGCUGCUUUAUCAGUGUGUGAAGACAGAACAAUGAUGUGGCUUAGAUACUUGACAUUUUGUAUUGUUGGAAAGUGGCAAAUUGCACUGAGCUGUAAAUGCACUGUAAGUGGUGUUGUGUUGAAUUAUAAAGA
RNAcentral lists this long non-coding RNA (2234 nucleotides) under Homo sapiens (human). RNAcentral's name for it is "HSALNT0133288". Lineage: Eukaryota; Metazoa; Chordata; Mammalia; Primates; Hominidae. The record is from RNAcentral.